AGAGUUUGAUUAUGGCUCAGGAUGAACGCUGGCGGCGUGCUUAACACAUGCAAGUCGAACGAGGGUUAUCGGUUGAAGUUUUCGGAUGGAAACGGAUAAUUCCUAGUGGCGGACGGGUGAGUAACGCGUGGGGAACCUGCCCCAUUCCGGGGGAUACCAGUUGGAAACGACUGUUAAUACCGCAUAAGCGCACGGUACUGCAUGGUACAGUGUGAAAAAACUCCGGUGGAAUGGGGAUGGCCCCGCGUCUGAUUAGCCAGUUGGCAGGGUAACGGCCUACCAAAGCGACGAUCAGUAGCCGGCCUGAGAGGGCGACCGGCCACAUUGGGACUGAGACACGGCCCAAACUCCUACGGGAGGCAGCAGUGGGGAACAUUGCACAAUGGGGGAAACCCUGAUGCAGCGAACCGCCGCGUGAGUGAAGAAGUAUUUCGGUAUGUAAAGCUCUAUCAGCAGGGAAGAAGAUGACGGUACCUGCACAAGAAGCCCCGGCUAACUACGUGCCAGCCGCUGC
Molecule: ribosomal RNA, 514 nt
Filed under: uncultured bacterium
Lineage: Bacteria
Description: bacterial SSU rRNA
Rfam family: Bacterial small subunit ribosomal RNA
Source: RNAcentral